RNAcentral lists this ribosomal RNA (487 nucleotides) under uncultured bacterium. Its description in RNAcentral is "bacterial SSU rRNA". It matches the Rfam family "Bacterial small subunit ribosomal RNA", at positions 903 to 1397 of the family's 1533-position model. The record is from RNAcentral.
AAAUGAAUUGACGGGGGCCCGCACAAGCAGUGGAGUAUGUGGUUUAAUUCGACGCAACGCGAAGAACCUUACCAAGUCUUGACAUCCCUUGACGAUGCUGGAAACAGUAUUUCUCUUCGGAGCAAGGAGACAGGUGGUGCAUGGUUGUCGUCAGCUCGUGUCGUGAGAUGUUGGGUUAAGUCCCGCAACGAGCGCAACCCUUAUGGUCAGUUACUACGCAAGAGGACUCUGGCCAGACUGCCGUUGACAAAACGGAGGAAGGUGGGGAUGACGUCAAAUCAUCAUGCCCUUUAUGACUUGGGCUACACACGUACUACAAUGGCGUUAAACAAAGAGAAGCAAGACCGCGAGGUGGAGCAAAACUCAGAAACAACGUCCCAGUUCGGACUGCAGGCUGCAACUCGCCUGCACGAAGUCGGAAUUGCUAGUAAUCGUGGAUCAGCAUGCCACGGUGAAUACGUUCCCGGGCCUUGUACACACCGCCCGU